Molecule: ribosomal RNA, 405 nt
Filed under: uncultured bacterium
Lineage: Bacteria
Description: partial 16S ribosomal RNA
Rfam family: Bacterial small subunit ribosomal RNA
Source: RNAcentral
AUUGAACGCUGGCGGCAGGCCUAACACAUGCAAGUCGAACGAGUGGCGGACGGGUGAGUAAUGUCUGGGAAACUGCCCGAUGGAGGGGGAUAACUACUGGAAACGGUAGCUAAUACCGCAUACCAUCGGAUGUGCGACGAUGUGAUUAGCUAGUAGGUGGGGUAAUGGCUCACCUAGCCGACGAUCCCUAGCGGGGCUGAGAGGAUGACCAGCACAACUGGAACUGAGCAACGGCCCAGAUGCCUAGGGGAGGAAGCAGUGGGGAAUAUGGCACAAUGGGCGAAAGCCUGAUGAAGCCAUGCCGGGUGUAUGAAGAAGGCCUUGGGGUUGUAAAGUACUUUCAGCGAGGAGGCGUUACUCGAAGAAGAAGCACCGGCUAACUCGGUGCCAGCGGCCGCGGUAAUU